RNA transcript from Carlito syrichta (Philippine tarsier), 824 nucleotides. It is a transcript of the gene named ankyrin repeat domain-containing protein 45-like, with no coding region annotated. The record is from RefSeq and is a predicted model, not a curated record. The transcript is spliced from 5 exons. NCBI's taxonomy places the organism in Eukaryota, Metazoa, Chordata, Mammalia, Primates, Tarsiidae.
UUGGAAUUAAUGGAGUCAGAAGGACCCUCAGAGAGUUCAGAAUUUUUCUCACAGAAGGAAGAGGAAGAAGAAGUCCCAGAGCCAGAGGAAACCACCACAGUGAACCCCCUCUUACAACCUGCCCUCGCAGGGGAUGUAGAAGGUUUGCAGAAGAUUUUUGAGGAUUCUAAGAAUCCUCAUCAUGAGCAGGCCAUGCACCUACUCUUAGAAGAAGAUGUUAUUGGGAGGAAUUUGCUCUAUGCAGCUUGCAUGACUGGGCAAAGUGAUGUGAUUAGAGCUUUGGCAAAAUAUGGUGUGAAUUUGAAUAAAAAAACUGCCAGAGGGUAUACUCUCUUACACUGGGCUGCAGCCUGGGGUCGUUUGGAAACCUUAAAAGCACUGGUAGAACUGGAUGCUGAUAUAGAAGCUUUGAACUUCCGGGAGGAAAGACCUUGGGAUGUUGCUGCUAGGUAUUCCCAGACUGAGUGUAUUGAAUUCCUGGACUGGGCAGAUGCAAAGUUGUCUCUGAAAAAAUAUAUUGCCAAGGUUUCUUUAGCCAUUACUGAUACAGAAAAGGGAUCAGGGAAGCUUCUUAAGGAAGACAAGGUACUUAUUCUCUACUUCUGUUCCUAUAACGCCAUCCUCAAUGUGUGUCACACAAAAAACGAAUGGCUGGAAAUUCAUUCAGAUGCUUCCAUUAAUUAGCUCUUUGAACAGAGCCAGCAAUCAGAAUAUAUUGUGACUCCUAUCCUCACAAAAAUGGCUACACCACGUCAAGUAAAAAAUGACAAAUCUAUAAACUAAGCCAUGUUCAGAAGAAAAGACAAGAUUAUACCUUCUACUGA